AGUGAACGCUGGCGGUAGGCCUAACACAUGCAAGUCGAACGGCAGCACAGUAAGAGCUUGCUCUUACGGGUGGCGAGUGGCGGACGGGUGAGGAAUACAUCGGAAUCUACUUUUUCAUGGGGGAUAACGUAGGGAAACUUACGCUAAUACCGCAUACGACCUACGGGUGAAAGCAGGGGAUCUUCGGACCUUGCGCGAUUGAAUGAGCCGAUGUCGGAUUAGCUAGUUGGCGGGGUAAAGGCCCACCAAGGCGACGAUCCGUAGCUGGUCUGAGAGGAUGAUCAGCCACACUGGAACUGAGACACGGUCCAGACUCCUACGGGAGGCAGCAGUGGGGAAUAUUGGACAAUGGGCGCAAGCCUGAUCCAGCCAUACCGCGUGGGUGAAGAAGGCCUUCGGGUUGUAAAGCCCUUUUGUUGGGAAAGAAAAGCAGCAGGUUAAUACCCCGCUGUUCUGACGGUACCCAAAGAACAAGCACCGGCUAACUUCGUG
RNAcentral lists this ribosomal RNA (492 nucleotides) under uncultured bacterium. RNAcentral describes it as "partial 16S ribosomal RNA". It matches the Rfam family "Bacterial small subunit ribosomal RNA", at positions 29 to 507 of the family's 1533-position model. The record is from RNAcentral.